This 126-nucleotide small RNA is filed under the name Pogona vitticeps (central bearded dragon). RNAcentral describes it as "ZEB2 antisense RNA 1 conserved region 1 (ENSPVIG00000005334.1)". Lineage: Eukaryota; Metazoa; Chordata; Lepidosauria; Squamata; Agamidae. The record is from RNAcentral.
CUAUAAAAGAUGUAACAGAUGCAAACUGUAAAACAGGGACGAUUAACCCUUGCUCUCCUGAACCGAAUGCAUCCUACCCUUGCCUUUUGUCUGCUCUCUUUUAUUUCUAUGCGAGGCUCUCUGGCC